This 423-nucleotide ribosomal RNA is filed under the name Acanthamoeba sp. RNAcentral's name for it is "SSU rRNA". It matches the Rfam family "Eukaryotic small subunit ribosomal RNA", at positions 778 to 1095 of the family's 1831-position model. The record is from RNAcentral. Lineage: Eukaryota; Discosea; Longamoebia; Acanthamoebidae.
AAGCAUGUGAGUGGGCUUUUCUGCCACCGAAUACAUUAGCAUGGGAUAAUGGAAUAGGACCCUGUCCUCCUAUUUUCAGUUGGUUUUGGCAGCGCGAGGACUAGGGUAAUGAUUAAUAGGGAUAGUUGGGGGCAUUAAUAUUUAAUUGUCAGAGGUGAAAUUCUUGGAUUUAUGAAAGAUUAACUUCUGCGAAAGCAUCUGCCAAGGAUGUUUUCAUUAAUCAAGAACGAAAGUUAGGGGAUCGAAGACGAUCAGAUACCGUCGUAGUCUUAACCAUAAACGAUGCCGACCAGCGAUUAGGAGACGUUGAAUACAAAACACCACCAUCGGCGCGGUCGUCCUUGGCGUCUCGGUUUCGGCCGGGGCGCGGGGAUGGCUUAGCCCGGUGGCACCGGUGAAUGACUCCCCUAGCAGCUUGUGAGA